GGACUACCAGGGUAUCUAAUCCCGUUCGCUCCCCUGGCUUUCGUGUCUCAGCGUCAGCUGGCCCCCAGCAGACUGUCUUCACCUUUGGCGUUCCAAGUGAUAUCUACGCAUUUCACCGCUCCACCACUUGUUCCAUCUGCCCCUAGGCCGCUCAAGAUCGCCAGUAUACCCAGCAGUUCCCCGGUUGAGCCGGGGGAUUUCACAAGGUACUUAACGACCCGCCUACACACGCUUUAAGCCCAGUGAUUCCGCCUAACGCUUGGCACCUCUGUCUUACCGCGGCGGCUGGCAC
This 292-nucleotide ribosomal RNA is filed under the name uncultured bacterium. Its description in RNAcentral is "partial 16S ribosomal RNA". The record is from RNAcentral.